ACAACUUAAAUUAAUUUUUACUGAUAGUAGCUUUAAGGUGAAGGUUGCUCGAGAUCAUAAUAAUAAGCUUGGCUCCCGCUCUAAUAACCCUCUCAACCACCCACUCAAAACAAACAAAUCAGACGGCGCACAUGUAGUGUGACUUGGUCAAAUAAACUAACAAAAACGUUCCAAAAUGAGCUGUAUUAAAAUAGCAGUUGUACCUUUGAAUUUUGGCACACAUAUGAUUUAUUGCAUAUGCCCACCAACACAAUUUGUUCUUAUAAAAUAUUUUUUAAUUUAUUUAAAUCCCUACUUUGCCCAAUAUUUUCACCAAUUAUCCCAUUUUGCACCACUUUAUUUACGUUUUUGUUGACAACUCUCUCCUCUCUUCUCUCGUACUGUUUCUCUCUGACCGUAGAAAACUACCGUGAAUGGGGUGACAUUAAUUGAUGUAAUUUCAACUCAUAAACAGCGAACGAUUGUUCUGUUAUCUAUUGAAAUCACAUUAUCAGUAUGAUAUUUAAAAUACUUAAAAGAUUAACAAAAUAACAGCCUUGUUUCGUGAUAAACAUGAACUGCGGUUUAAUCAAUUUUACCGUACGUUGAACAAUACCACUCAGUUUAACGGUACGCUUUUCCGUUUUAGCGAACCGCGAUGUAAAUUGAUCCGGGUUUUCGACCACAAAAGUGGAAAACGCGUAAGUUUUCCGCGAUAAACGGUAGGUCAGGCGGAAGUGCGGACAAUUUCACGUAAUCGAUCAACUUAUCACAGUGCUGUGUUGUGUAGAAGACUGUUAAAAACGAGGUUAAAAAGUGAUUUGAAAAUAAGGGUGACGCGCUUGUCGAAGAAGAAAAAGUGCAGUGUGUGCUACAUUUUGGCACGAAAUUGUGAAAAUAUUGUGAAAAUUGCAAAGUAGUUCUUCCUGACGGAUGAAAUAUAUAGUGUUCUACCACAAGUAGCAACCUGAGUGCAAUUUGAGAAGGUAAGCAAGUAUAUUUUUGAGAAAUUGUUCGCUAACUUCCGCGCUUCUCGAUGACUAUGGUGAGGGGAGGGAGGUAUAAGGGAGAGAGUGGCGGCCAUACUCGCUGCCAUUUUGUAACCCCUGCAACUAUUUUUUUAUAACUACAGCUCUUUUGUCCACUAGGGUACUACGUGAGCGAUUCCAAUUGGACGCUGCACUUCCACGUUGUACAGCGCCUAAAUGUAUUCUAUUCUACUUAUUCUACUGUAUUGAACUGGUUGCCUUUGUGCUUCUUUCAUUCUUCUACCCUGUCCAUGGUAGAAUGAUGAGCACGAUAAUGCUGAUGUGUGGCUGCUGUUUCUUUUCCAGUCCAAUUGGGGGUCCAUUAUGAGUUGCGGUUCGCCAAUAUCCAAAUUCCGGGUCCGUUAGAGCUAUAUGCUCCGAAGAGGGUCAAGUGCCAGCUACUCUCGGGGGGAAGAGCAGCUGACGAAAAAUUGCAAGUGCCGGGGCUGGGUUCGAACCCAUGACCAUCCGCUUAUGAAGCGAAGGUGUGCACCACUGCGCCGCGGGCCCCGACGUCCCCUGCAACUAUGUCCUUAAAUUAUUAUAGAACUAUUGAAAAAUAAUCGAAUCAAUUAGUCACUAAUAUAGCUAAUGUUCACUUACUGUA
Long non-coding RNA from Aedes albopictus (Asian tiger mosquito), 1614 nucleotides. RefSeq lists it as uncharacterized. NCBI's taxonomy places the organism in Eukaryota, Metazoa, Arthropoda, Insecta, Diptera, Culicidae. The record is from RefSeq and is a predicted model, not a curated record. The transcript is spliced from 2 exons.